AAACAUGUCUUUUAGAAAUUAAUUUAAAGUCUAGCCUGCCCACUGAAAAUUUUUAAAUGGCCGCAGUAUCCUAACUGUGCAAAGGUAGCAUAAUCAUUAGUCUUUUAAUUGAAGGCUGGAAUGAAUGGUUGGAUGAAAUAUUAACUGUUUCAUAAAAAUUUAUAAUAGAAUUUUAUUUUUUAGUCAAAAAGCUAAAAUGUUAUUAAAAGACGAGAAGACCCUAUAAAUCUUUAUAUUUAAGAAGUUUAAAUUAUAAAGAAAAAUUAAAUUUAAAUUUUAAAAAAUAUUUUAUUGGGGUGAUAUUAAAAUUUAAUAAACUUUUAAUUUAUUAUUAACAUUAAUUUAUGAAUUUUUGAUCCAUUAAUUAUGAUUAAAAAAUUAAGUUACUUUAGGGAUAACAGCGUAAUUUUUUUAGAGAGUUCCUAUUGAUAAAAAAGAUUGCGACCUCGAUGUUGGAUUAAGAUAUAGUUUUAGGUGCAGCAGCUUAAACUUAAAGUCUGUUCGACUUUUAAAUUCUUAC
RNAcentral lists this ribosomal RNA (520 nucleotides) under Myriophora reminatis. RNAcentral's name for it is "partial 16S ribosomal RNA". The stretch from base 394 to 520 matches the Rfam family "Bacterial large subunit ribosomal RNA", at positions 2473 to 2599 of the family's 2925-position model. The record is from RNAcentral. Lineage: Eukaryota; Metazoa; Arthropoda; Insecta; Diptera; Phoridae.